CAAAAAUAGAUGGUCAAGGUAUUGUGUAUUUGAAUUUGUUCAAACAUUUGAACAUUGAUUAUUAGUUCCAACAAUUCUAUAUGCCAUAUGGCGAAAUUGUUGUUUUUCUAUGGUUGUCUUAUGAUAUUGUCUUCUACUCUAUUUGAUUGUGUUGGAAAAUUUAGCUGUGCUUAUGAGGCUGUUACUUGUUAUUCUGGUCAGCAUAUAGUAUAACUAGGUGACAAACAGAAUUUCAAAUUUUGCAGCUUUUGUGCUUUCUGGUUGGG
This 266-nucleotide unclassified non-coding RNA is filed under the name Hevea brasiliensis (rubber tree). The record is from RNAcentral. Lineage: Eukaryota; Viridiplantae; Streptophyta; Magnoliopsida; Malpighiales; Euphorbiaceae.